UAGUUUUUUGUUGAACAUUUUGAUUCUCAGAGAAUAAUUUAUGGAUCUUGAUGAUGUUGUGUUGUGUACUUCGGGGCCACUGUACAUUCACUGUAACACACGCUUUUUAUUCGGUUUUAUUAUGAAAUCUUAACCGGAACAUGCAUUGUGUUUCGUGGCUGACUUGACAGACUGUGUGUCGGUGAAAGUGAAACUAAAAUGAAAAUGGACUUGAGGGGAAAACCACUGAUCUCUACACACUAGAGUCUGAGUGUUAUCAGCAGCUCGGAGGAGAAUCUGUCAGCAGAAGGGAAACAAACACCAUGACCGACUUUUCUACCAUUUAUAAACUCUGCCUGCUCACUGUCACCUGCUGCAUCCAAGCCUGCAGCAGCAGCAGCAGCAGCAGCAGGUC
Long non-coding RNA from Hippoglossus stenolepis (Pacific halibut), 394 nucleotides. RefSeq lists it as uncharacterized. The transcript is spliced from 3 exons. Lineage: Eukaryota; Metazoa; Chordata; Actinopteri; Pleuronectiformes; Pleuronectidae. The record is from RefSeq and is a predicted model, not a curated record.